Molecule: signal recognition particle RNA, 297 nt
Filed under: Cebus imitator (Panamanian white-faced capuchin)
Lineage: Eukaryota; Metazoa; Chordata; Mammalia; Primates; Cebidae
Description: Metazoan signal recognition particle RNA (ENSCCAG00000005553.1)
Rfam family: Metazoan signal recognition particle RNA
About the family: The signal recognition particle (SRP) is a universally conserved ribonucleoprotein. It is involved in the co-translational targeting of proteins to membranes. The eukaryotic SRP consists of a 300-nucleotide 7S RNA and six proteins: SRPs 72, 68, 54, 19, 14, and 9.
Source: RNAcentral
GCCCGGCGCGGUGGCACAUGCCUGUAGUCCCGGCUAUUAGGGAGGCUGAGGCUGGAGGAUCACUUGAGUCCAGGAGUUCUGGGCUGUAGUGCUAUGCCGAUCGGGUGUCUGCACUAAGUUCGGCAUUAAUAUGGUGACCUCCCGGGAGCGGAGGACCACCAGGUUGCCUAAGGAGGGGUGAACCAGCCCAGGUCAGAAACGGAGCAGGUCAAAGCUCCCGGGCUGAUCAGUAGUGGGAUCGAGCCUGUGAAUAGCCACUGCAUUCCAACCUGGGCGACAUAUCGAGACCCUGUCUCU